RNAcentral lists this transfer RNA (96 nucleotides) under Caudoviricetes sp. Its description in RNAcentral is "tRNA-OTHER". It matches the Rfam family "tRNA". From Rfam's summary of the family: Transfer RNA (tRNA) molecules are approximately 80 nucleotides in length. Their secondary structure includes four short double-helical elements and three loops (D, anti-codon, and T loops). Lineage: Duplodnaviria; Heunggongvirae; Uroviricota; Caudoviricetes. The record is from RNAcentral.
UCGGGAUUACGCAAACGGCAAAGCGGCUAUCUGGAAUAGAUAGUGAAAGAUGUUCUAGGCAUCAGUUUAUUGGGAGUUCGAAUCUCUCAUCCCGAG